Molecule: ribosomal RNA, 963 nt
Filed under: Aerococcus urinaeequi
Lineage: Bacteria; Bacillati; Bacillota; Bacilli; Lactobacillales; Aerococcaceae
Description: bacterial SSU rRNA
Rfam family: Bacterial small subunit ribosomal RNA
Source: RNAcentral
GGCCUGCGGGCUGCCUAUACAUGCAAGUCGAGCGAACAGAUGAAGUGCUUGCACUUCUGACGUUAGCGGCGAACGGGUGAGUAACACGUAAGGAAUCUACCUAUAAGCGGGGGAUAACAUUCGGAAACGGGUGCUAAUACCGCAUAAUAUCUUCUUCCGCAUGGAAGAAGAUUGAAAGACGGCUCUGCUGUCACUUAUAGAUGACCUUGCGGUGCAUUAGUUAGUUGGUGGGGUAAUGGCCUACCAAGACGAUGAUGCAUAGCCGACCUGAGAGGGUGAUCGGCCACAUUGGGACUGAGACACGGCCCAAACUCCUACGGGAGGCAGCAGUAGGGAAUCUUCCGCAAUGGGCGAAAGCCUGACGGAACAAUGCCGCGUGAGUGAAGAAGGCCUUCGGGUCGUAAAACUCUGUUAUAAGAGAAGAACAAAUUGUAGAGUAACUGCUACAGUCUUGACGGUAUCUUAUCAGAAAGCCACGGCUAACUACGUGCCAGCAGCCGCGGUAAUACGUAGGUGGCAAGCGUUGUCCGGAUUUAUUGGGCGUAAAGGGAGCGCAGGUGGUUUCUUAAGUCUGAUGUGAAAGCCCACGGCUUAACCGUGGAGGGUCAUUGGAAACUGGGAAACUUGAGUACAGAAGAGGAAUGUGGAACUCCAUGUGUAGCGGUGGAAUGCGUAGAUAUAUGGAAGAACACCAGUGGCGAAGGCGACAUUCUGGUCUGUUACUGACACUGAAGCUCGAAAGCGUGGGGAGCAAACAGGAUUAGAUACCCUGGUAGUCCACGCCGUAAACGAUGAGUGCUAGGUGUUGGAGGGUUUCCGCCCUUCAGUGCCGCAGUUAACGCAUUAAGCACUCCGCCUGGGGAGUACGACCGCAAGGUUGAAACUCAAAGGAAUUGAAGGGACCCGCACAAGCGGUGGAGCAUGUGGUUUAAUUCGAAGCAACGCGAAAACCUUACCAAGUCU